CUGCCUGCCCAGUGACACUAAGUUUAACGGCCGCGGUAUUAUGACCGUGCAAAGGUAGCGUAAUCACUUGUCUUUUAAAUAAAGACCAGUAUGAAUGGCAAGACGAAAGUUCAACUGUCUCCCUAAAUUAAUCAAUGAAAUUGAUUUUUCUGUGCAGAAGCGGAAAUAUAAUUAUAAGACGAGAAGACCCUAUGGAGCUUUAAACAUAUGAUCAAUUGCGUAACAUAAAAUCCAAAAGAUAAAAUAUUUAAUAUAACAAUAUGAUCAAAAUUUUAGGUUGGGGCGACCACGGAGAAAAACAAAACCUCCGAGAUGAAGAGAAUAUCUUAAUUCAAGAACUACAAUUCUAAAAAAUAAAAUAUUUAACAUAAUUGAUCCAAUACUUUGAUCAACGAACCAAGUUACCCUAGGGAUAACAGCGCAAUCCUCUCCAAGAGUCCCUAUCGACGAGCGGGUUUACGACCUCGAUGUUGGAUCAGGACACCCCAAUGGUGCAGCCGCUAUUAAAGGUUCGUUUGUUCAACGAUUAAA
RNAcentral lists this ribosomal RNA (531 nucleotides) under Hynobius kimurae (Hida salamander). RNAcentral's name for it is "partial large subunit ribosomal RNA". It matches the Rfam family "Bacterial large subunit ribosomal RNA", at positions 1854 to 2592 of the family's 2925-position model. The record is from RNAcentral. Lineage: Eukaryota; Metazoa; Chordata; Amphibia; Caudata; Hynobiidae.